CCUUUAUCUGGGGGAUAGCCUUUCGAAAGGGAGAUUAAUACCCCAUAAUAUUUAGAAUGGCAUCAUUUUAAAUUGAAAACUCCGGUGGAUAGAGAUGGGCACGCGCAAGAUUAGAUAGUUGGUGAGGUAACGGCUCACCAAGUCAACGAUCUUUAGGGGGCCUGAGAGGGUGAUCCCCCACACUGGUACUGAGACACGGACCAGACUCCUACGGGAGGCAGCAGUGAGGAAUAUUGGACAAUGGGUGAGAGCCUGAUCCAGCCAUCCCGCGUGAAGGACGACGGCCCUAUGGGUUGUAAACUUCUUUUGUAUAGGGAUAAACCUACCCUCGUGAGGGUAGCUGAAGGUACUAUACGAAUAAGCACCGGCUAACUCCGUGCCAGCAGCCGCGGUAAUACGGAGGGUGCAAGCGUUAUCCGGAUUUAUUGGGUUUAAAGGGUCCGUAGGCGGAUCUGUAAGUCAGUGGUGAAAUCUCACAGCUUAACUGUGAAACUGCCAUUGAUACUGCAGGUCUUGAGUGUUGUUGAAGUAGCUGGAAUAAGUAGUGUAGCGGUGAAAUGCAUAGAUAUUACUUAGAACACCAAUUGCGAAGGCAGGUUACUAAGCAACAACUGACGCUGAUGGACGAAAGCGUGGGGAGCGAACAGGAUUAGAUACCCUGGUAGUCCACGCCGUAAACGAUGCUAACUCGUUUUUGGUUUUUCGGAAUCAGAGACUAAGCGAAAGUGAUAAGUUAGCCACCUGGGGAGUACGUUCGCAAGAAUGAAACUCAAAGGAAUUGACGGGGGCCCGCACAAGCGGUGGAUUAUGUGGUUUAAUUCGAUGAUACGCGAGGAACCUUACCAAGGCUUAAAUGGGAAAUGACAGGUUUAGAAAUAGACUUUUCUUCGGACAUUUUUCAAGGUGCUGCAUGGUUGUCGUCAGCUCGUGCCGUGAGGUGUUAGGUUAAGUCCUGCAACGAGCGCAACCCCUGUCACUAGUUGCCAUCAUUAAGUUGGGGACUCUAGUGAGACUGCCUACGCAAGUAGAGAGGAAGGUGGGGAUGACGUCAAAUCAUCACGGCCCUUACGCCUUGGGCCACACACGUAAUACAAUGGCCAGUACAGAGGGCAGCUACACGGUGACGUGAUGCAAAUCUCGAAAGCUGGUCUCAGUUCGGAUUGGAGUCUGCAACUCGACUCUAUGAAGCUGGAAUCGCUAGUAAUCGCGCAUCAGCCAUGGCGC
Molecule: ribosomal RNA, 1224 nt
Filed under: Chryseobacterium sp. StRB291
Lineage: Bacteria; Pseudomonadati; Bacteroidota; Flavobacteriia; Flavobacteriales; Weeksellaceae
Description: bacterial SSU rRNA
Rfam family: Bacterial small subunit ribosomal RNA
Source: RNAcentral